Molecule: ribosomal RNA, 890 nt
Filed under: uncultured bacterium
Lineage: Bacteria
Description: bacterial SSU rRNA
Rfam family: Bacterial small subunit ribosomal RNA
Source: RNAcentral
GGACUUCGGUCUGGUGGCGAGUGGCGAACGGGUGAGUAAUGUAUCGGAACGUACCUUUCAGUGGGGGAUAACGUAGCGAAAGUUACGCUAAUACCGCAUAUUCUGUGAGCAGGAAAGCAGGGGAUCGCAAGACCUUGCGCUGAUUGAGCGGCCGAUAUCAGAUUAGCUAGUUGGUGGGGUAAAGGCCUACCAAGGCUACGAUCUGUAGCGGGUCUGAGAGGAUGAUCCGCCACACUGGAACUGAGACACGGUCCAGACUCCUACGGGAGGCAGCAGUGGGGAAUUUUGGACAAUGGGGGCAACCCUGAUCCAGCCAUGCCGCGUGAGUGAAGAAGGCCUUCGGGUUGUAAAGCUCUUUCAGCCGGGAAGAAAUCGCAUCAGCUAAUACCUGGUGUGGAUGACGGUACCGGAAUAAGAAGCACCGGCUAACUACGUGCCAGCAGCCGCGGUAAUACGUAGGGUGCGAGCGUUAAUCGGAAUUACUGGGCGUAAAGCGUGCGCAGGCGGUUGUGUAAGACAGGCGUGAAAUCCCCGGGCUCAACCUGGGAACUGCGUUUGUGACUGCACAGCUAGAGUAUGGCAGAGGGGGGUGGAAUUCCACGUGUAGCAGUGAAAUGCGUAGAGAUGUGGAGGAACACCGAUGGCGAAGGCAGCCCCCUGGGCCAAUACUGACGCUCAUGCACGAAAGCGUGGGUAGCAAACAGGAUUAGAUACCCUGGUAGUCCACGCCCUAAACGAUGUCAACUAGGUGUUGGGGAGGGUAAAACCUUUUAGUACCGGAGCUAACGCGUGAAGUUGACCGCCUGGGGGAGUACGGCCGCAAGGUUAAAACUCAAAGGAAUUGACGGGGACCCGCACAAGCGGUGGAUGAAUGUGGAUUAAUUCGAUGC